Molecule: ribosomal RNA, 254 nt
Filed under: uncultured bacterium
Lineage: Bacteria
Description: partial 16S ribosomal RNA
Rfam family: Bacterial small subunit ribosomal RNA
Source: RNAcentral
UACGGGGGGGGCAAGCGUUGUUCGGAAUUACUGGGCGUAAAGGGCUCGUAGGCGGCCAACUAAGUCGGAUGUGAAAUCCCCGGGCUUAACCUGGGAACUGCAUCCGAUACUGGAUGGCUUGAAUUCGGGAGAGGGAUGCAGAAUUCCAGGUGUAGCGGUGAAAUGCGUAGAUAUCUGGAGGAAAACCGGUGGCGAAGGCGGCAUCCUGGACCGACAUUGACGCUGAGUGAGCGAAAGCUAGGGGAGCAAACGGG